Small nuclear RNA from Centropristis striata (black sea bass), 191 nucleotides. RefSeq annotates it as U2 spliceosomal RNA. The transcript has a single exon. The record is from RefSeq and is a predicted model, not a curated record. Lineage: Eukaryota; Metazoa; Chordata; Actinopteri; Perciformes; Serranidae.
GUACGCCCUCAGCCUUUUGGCUAAGAUCAAGUGUAGUAUCUGUUCGUAUCAGUUUAAUAAAAAUAAAUAAAUAAAAUCAGCGCCGCAAUUUCAAAACCAGUUCACGACAUGAUGUGUCUUUGGCAUCAGCACUCUGACACAUAUUAUAUAAUUAUUAUUAUUAUAUCUGUAAAAAUGGAAGAAGAUGCUUU